This 48-nucleotide non-coding RNA is filed under the name Schistosoma haematobium. The record is from RNAcentral. Lineage: Eukaryota; Metazoa; Platyhelminthes; Trematoda; Strigeidida; Schistosomatidae.
AUCCAACUGACGAGUUCCGAAUAGGACGGAACGUGUGUCAAACUGGAU